ACACAUCGGGAACGUAGCCUGUCGUGGGGGGAUAGCCCCGGCGAAAGCCCGGAUUAAUUCCGCAUACGACCUGAGGGUGAAAGCGGGGGGAUUCUUGGGCAACCGAGGACCUCGCGCGAUAGGAGCGGCCGAUGGCGGAUUAGCUAGUUGGUGGGGUAAAGGCCUACCAAGGCGACGAUCCGUAGCGGGUCUGAGAGGACGGCCCGCCACACUGGAACUGAGACACGGUCCAGACUCCUACGGGAGGCAGCAGUGGGGAAUUUUGGACAAUGGGGGCAACCCUGAUCCAGCCAUUCCGCGUGAGUGAAGAAGGCCUUCGGGUUGUAAAGCUCUUUCGGCAGGAACGAAACGGUGGAGGCUAAUACCUUUCAUCAAUGACGGUACCUGAAGAAGAAGCACCGGCUAACUACGUGCCAGCAGCCGCGGUAAUACGUAGGGUGCGAGCGUUAAUCGGAAUUACUGGGCGUAAAGCGUGCGCAGGCGGCUCACUAAGACAGAUGUGAAAUCCCCGGGCUUAACCUGGGAACUGCGUUUGUGACUGGUGGGCUGGAGUGUGGCAGAGGGGGGUGGAAUUCCACGUGUAGCAGUGAAAUGCGUAGAGAUGUGGAGGAACACCGAUGGCGAAGGCAGCCCCCUGGGUUGACACUGACGCUCAUGCACGAAAGCGUGGGGAGCAAACAGGAUUAGAUACCCUGGUAGUCCACGCCCUAAACGAUGCCAACUAGGUGUUGGAGAAGGAGACUUCUUUAGUACCGUAGCUAACGCGUGAAGUGGCCGCGUGGGA
This 784-nucleotide ribosomal RNA is filed under the name uncultured bacterium. RNAcentral's name for it is "bacterial SSU rRNA". It matches the Rfam family "Bacterial small subunit ribosomal RNA", at positions 113 to 878 of the family's 1533-position model. The record is from RNAcentral.